This 73-nucleotide transfer RNA is filed under the name Ornithorhynchus anatinus (platypus). It matches the Rfam family "tRNA". From Rfam's summary of the family: Transfer RNA (tRNA) molecules are approximately 80 nucleotides in length. Their secondary structure includes four short double-helical elements and three loops (D, anti-codon, and T loops). Further hydrogen bonds mediate the characteristic L-shaped molecular structure. tRNAs have two regions of fundamental functional importance: the anti-codon, which is responsible for specific mRNA codon recognition, and the 3' end, to which the tRNAs corresponding amino acid is attached (by aminoacyl-tRNA synthetases). tRNAs cope with the degeneracy of the genetic code in two manners: having more than one tRNA (with a specific anti-codon) for a particular amino acid; and 'wobble' base-pairing, i.e. permitting non-standard base-pairing at the 3rd anti-codon position. Lineage: Eukaryota; Metazoa; Chordata; Mammalia; Monotremata; Ornithorhynchidae. The record is from Rfam by way of RNAcentral.
AGCAGCAUGGCUUAGCAGAAAAAGCACUAGGCCUGAAGGCCAGAGAACCUAGGUUCUAAUCCCAGUUCUGCAA